UCGAACGGUUUUCGAAGUUCGAGGUUGGAUGUUCGAAGUUCGAUAAAAAAGUAAGUCAUUAUUUCGAACCUCGAAUCUCGAACCUCAAACUUCGAGAAUAGUGGCGGACGGGUGAGUAACGCGUGGAUAAUCUGCCUGUAAGACAGGAAUAACGCCGGGAAACCGGUGCUAAUACCGGAUAACCUCUUUUUAUCGCAUGGUGAAAAGAGAAAAGGCGGCCUCUUAACAAAGCUGCCGCUUACAGAUGAAUCCGCGUCCCAUUAGCCAGUUGGUGGGGUAACGGCCCACCAAAGCGACGAUGGGUAGCCGGCCUGAGAGGGUGACCGGCCACACUGGAACUGAGACACGGUCCAGACUCCUUCGGGAGGCAGCAGUGGGGAAUCUUCCGCAAUGGGCGAAAGCCUGACGGAGCAACGCCGCGUGAGCGAAGAAGGUCUUCGGAUUGUAAAGCUCUGUGAUAUUGGACGAACAGAUUUCUUGUAAAUAGCAAGGAAAAAUGACGGUACAAUAAGAGGGAGCCACGGCUAACUACGUGCCAGCAGCCGCGGUAAUACGUAGGUGGCAAACGUUGUCCGGAAUUACUGGGCGUAAAGGGCGAGUAGGUGGUUUAUUAAGUCAGAAGUGAAAACUCCGGGCUCAACCUGGAGACUGCUUCUGAAACUGGUAGACUUGAGUGCAGGAGAGGGAAGCGGAAUUCCUAGUGUAGCGGUGAAAUGCGUAGAUAUUA
This 727-nucleotide ribosomal RNA is filed under the name uncultured Desulfotomaculum sp. RNAcentral's name for it is "bacterial SSU rRNA". It matches the Rfam family "Bacterial small subunit ribosomal RNA", at positions 1 to 699 of the family's 1533-position model. The record is from RNAcentral. Lineage: Bacteria; Bacillati; Bacillota; Clostridia; Eubacteriales; Desulfotomaculaceae.